CCCUUAGAGUUUGAUCCUGGCUCAGGAUCAACGCUGGCGGCGUGCCUAACGCAUGUAAGUCGAACGCAGUGUCCUUCGGGACGCUGAGUGGCGAACGGCUGAGGAACACGUACGAACCUGCCCGCUUGUGGGGAAUAACUCACCGAAAGGUGAGCUAAUACCGCGUACGAUCACAGCGCAAGCUGGGAUGAAAGUCGCAAGACGCUGGCGGAGGGGCGUGCGGCCCAUCAGGUCGUUGGUGGGGUAAUGGCCUACCAAGCCUGUGACGGGUAGCUGGUCUGUGAGGACGAUCAGCCAGACUGGGACUGCGACACGGCCCAGACCCCUACGGGGGGCAGCAAUUAGGAAUAUUUCGCAAUGGGGGAAACCCUGACGGAGCGACGCCGCGUGCAGGAGGAAGGCCUUCGGGUUGUAAACUGCUUUUCUCUGUGACGAUUAUGACGGUA
RNAcentral lists this ribosomal RNA (446 nucleotides) under uncultured bacterium. Its description in RNAcentral is "bacterial SSU rRNA". It matches the Rfam family "Bacterial small subunit ribosomal RNA", at positions 1 to 477 of the family's 1533-position model. The record is from RNAcentral.